CAGAGAAGUGACGGUGGAUAUGAGCGGAGCAGAGGAAAAGGAGGGGCUGAACAACUGCAUGUUUGAAGUAUGCUGGGACACAGCCAGAUUGCAAGGAGCUGUUUAUGACGGAAACCAGGCAUGGCCCAAUACAGUCAAGUGCAUUUUUGAGCACGGAGACAAGUCCUCAAGCGUGAGGUCGCCUGACUCGGACACAUCCUUCACCUGCGGCCUCCACUCCUCUGUGCAGCUGACCUCAGCCCCGG
Molecule: long non-coding RNA, 245 nt
Organism: Thunnus maccoyii (southern bluefin tuna)
Lineage: Eukaryota; Metazoa; Chordata; Actinopteri; Scombriformes; Scombridae
Exons: 3
Source: RefSeq, a predicted model, not a curated record